RNAcentral lists this long non-coding RNA (390 nucleotides) under Nicotiana benthamiana. RNAcentral describes it as "long non-coding RNA (NBEN_LNC005396)". The record is from RNAcentral. Lineage: Eukaryota; Viridiplantae; Streptophyta; Magnoliopsida; Solanales; Solanaceae.
CCAAGCCCUUCUGGUGGAAGUUCAUCCUCGUGGAAAAUGAUUUUGUGACUUUCCACUACCUGCCCUAUCAUGGUCGCCAUUUCUCCUCCUGUUAUGUUGCUCGGGACAUAAGCUCGCUCAAUAUCUUCAUCAAGGCAUUUUUAUACGCCUCGGAACUCUGCAGCAAUGCCAAGAUGGAAAUUUGUGCCGGGGUCUUGUUCAGCUGUUCAACAACUGAAUAUUCUUUAGCCUGUAUCUUCCUCCAGAGAUCAUCAGGUCCAGUUUCAAUGGGACGUCCAGAGGCCUACUUGCUGGACUUAGCUAGGUGCUCUAGUGUGUACACCCUGCAUGUUCUAGUCAUACCUUGCGCGGUAAUUGCUUCACCCAUGCGUGCUUUACCCUCCCUUCUUG